CUUAGUAAGACCUUGUCUCAAAACAAAAAAUAAAAAAGAGCUAAGGGUGUAGCUCAGUGUGAAGACCCUAAGUUCAACCCCCAGUCUCAUGGAGGGGAAAAAAAAAAGAAUUAAAUAAAAAAUAUCAAGGCUGUUAAACAUAAUAAAGCUAAGUAUUGUUUCAUAAAACUUGUGUUUUGCACAUACCUGUGUGUGUGUGUGUGUGUGUGUGUGUGUGUUUGUGUAGUGGGCAUGAAGUAUAAUUUAUCUUAGUAUGGACUGUGAUUAGAAAAAAGUUGUUUUUGUGAUACUGGAAAUUGAACUAGGCUGGGGCAUUUUUGCCAAACUGCAUCCCCACCCCUUUCUGUUUUUUAUUUUUGAGACAGUCUUGCUGUGUUGCCUAAGCCAGGCUCCAGCUUUCAAUCCUCAUGCCUCAGCAAACUUGGGAUUCUCCUGCCUCCGUCUCACAGAGUGCUGGAAUUAUAGGCCUGCACCACCGUACCCAGUUACAAAAAAAGCUUUAAGGCCAGUGACAGGACUAUGUUGGUAAUGUUGAGUGAGACUUUGGACUUUAUUCUGAGGGCAGUAAGAACCACUGAAGGAUUUCAAGCCAGAAGAAUAAUCAGAUUUGCCUUUUUUUUUUUGGUUUUUGUUGUUUUACUACCAGGGAUCGAACUCCGGACCUUGUGCUUGCGAGGCAGGCAGUGGAACCACUGAGCUAAAUCCCCGGCCCUAGAUUUGCCUUUUUUUGGAAGACGGAGCUGCUGUCCCUGGCAAAACGGAAGCGCAGUGACUCUGAGGAGAAGGAGCCCCCCGUGAGCCAGCCUGCAGCCUCGUCAGACUCAGAGACUUCGGACAGUGAUGACGAGCUUCUGGGAUCGGACCUGUUUUGGAGUUCAGGACAGCAGGGGCCUGAUGAAUUCAGGUUGGAAUAACCACCUUCAGUGCUCGGACUUAGGGACAGCUGUUUGGAUGCCACCCAGCCUUAUAUUUGCACACUUCCCUUGGCUUGACCUGCAGCACCUCAUUUAUCUGUUCACCAUUAAAAUCUCAACACAAGAAUUUGGAAUAAUAAAAGGAUUUCAUCAACUACUUGUUCAUAUUUAUUUACAACAAAUUUGGACACUUCUUACCAAACAG
This 1119-nucleotide long non-coding RNA is filed under the name Fukomys damarensis (Damara mole-rat). RNAcentral describes it as "lncRNA (ENSFDAG00000028035.1)". The record is from RNAcentral. Lineage: Eukaryota; Metazoa; Chordata; Mammalia; Rodentia; Bathyergidae.